Molecule: long non-coding RNA, 1521 nt
Organism: Pogoniulus pusillus (Red-fronted tinkerbird)
Lineage: Eukaryota; Metazoa; Chordata; Aves; Piciformes; Lybiidae
Exons: 2
Source: RefSeq, a predicted model, not a curated record
GGGCUCACUCUGGUGAUGAAGUGCAGCUACCCCAGGACUCAGCCUGGGCUCACUCUGGUGAGGAACUGCAGCUACCCCAGGACUCAGCCUGGGCUGUUUCCUUUCUGAGAAACCAUCUGAACCGGGACAGUCCCUGCAGCCUGCUCUGCUCUUCUCCCCCGUUACUCACAGCAGGAAGCUUGCCAGAGUGAGGAGCACAGGCUGCUUACGUGAGUGAGGGCUGCAAAGUGCUGCUGUGGCCUCUCACCACUACUUUUCAAGGAAAAUGGAAUGAGAAGUUCCCCAUAACUGACCUUGAGUCUCUGCCUCCCAUCAGCAGCGCCUCCUCCCACGCACCUCCGUGUCCUUCAUCUCGCUGACUUACUGAGCCAGAGGUCCCCAGAGCUCCUGGGCUGGUUGCUGCUCCUCCUCGCCUGUUCCCAGGUACUCAGCCUGAACUGCUCCCAAACUCUUCAUGCCAUGUGGCUGCUUCUUAUUUGCACCAAAGACCUGAUUCAUCACUGCUCUGCCCUUCGAUAGAUGACAUCUGCUCCCACACAGCAGAUUGAAGACCCUCGAUGGAGAGCAUGCAGCAGUGCAGGCACCACUCUGAGGCGAAGGAGAUGGUGCUCUAGCCCCAGUCUGUCUGCUGAGUGCUGGAAGAGGAAGCCCCAACACAGAGCAGAGGCUAAGAAGAAUGAAAAAAAAAAGAGGAAUGGAAACAAUAAUGAGGAAUGGAGUUAUUGUAGGAGAGAGCAAGUAGAAGAGGUUGUUUGGGGACAGUGAAGAAAAUGCCAGAUAGGAAAGAAAUAGUGCUGGGAAGAAAGACAAUGGAGGAACGGAGGGAAACAAUUGGAAAGCUCCUGGUAGAAGCGAGCAGGGGGGUGGCUGAUCACAGGCCAGGAGCUUCCCACAAAGGUGCUGCAGCUUUGCCCUCUCCCAUCGCAGGCAGCUUAGGGGACGCACAGGACAACUCCCCGCACAAGUAGUUCAGUGGACGCUUCGGUGCUGAUGCGUUGCCGUGAGGGAGAUGGGGUUUGCCCCACCAGAAAGAAAUGUGAAGUGGGAGAGGGGUUAGAAAGUGGGCAGCAGCCAGGAAAAUGAGCGGCCCUGGGCGGUAGGAAAGCAGCAGCAGAGGCGGAGCAGGAGGGAAAGCCUCGCAGAGAGAACAGAGAGCAUCGCCCUACACUCAGCACCGCAGAGAGAACAGAGAGCAUCGCCCUACCCUCAGCACCGCAGAGAGAACAGAGAGCAUCGCCCUACACUCAGCACCGCAGAGAGAACAGAGAGCAUCGCCCUACACUCAGCACCGCAGAGAGAACAGAGAGCAUCGCCCUACACUCAGCACCGCAGUGCUGUCGGAUUGCAUCAGCUCUCUGCUGCUCCUGCUUCACCUGCAGCCCCUCCAGACAGGCCACUUCAAACAGGUUGGAAGAGGGAGCAGGCUUUCCCUAACCAAAGCCUCAGCCUUUUGUCUGAUGGCAAAAAUCAAUUCCAAAUGUGGAACUUUCAAUACAGACCAUAAUUUAGUUGCAAUUCAGA